GUCGGCUGAAGACUCUACUUGAUAGCUGAGAGGGAGGUGCAUGGCCGUCGUCAGUUUCGUACUGUGAAGCAUCCUGUUAAGUCAGGCAACGAGCGAGACCCACGCCAACAGUUUGCCAGCUCGUCCUCCGGGAUGGUGGGGACACUGUUGGGACCGCCUCUGCUAAAGAGGAGGAAGGAAUGGGCAACGGUAGGUCAGCAUGCCCCGAAUUUAUCUGGGCUACACGCGGGCUACAAUGGGUGGACAAUGGGUAUCGACACCGAAAGGUAAAGGCAAUCUCCUAAACCCAUCCGUAGUUCGGAUUGUGGGCUGCAACUCGCCCACAUGAAGCUGGAAUCUGUAGUAAUCGUGUCUCAAAAUGGCACGGUGAAUAUGUCCCUGCUCCUU
RNAcentral lists this ribosomal RNA (387 nucleotides) under uncultured Methanomicrobiales archaeon. Its description in RNAcentral is "bacterial SSU rRNA". It matches the Rfam family "Archaeal small subunit ribosomal RNA", at positions 953 to 1338 of the family's 1478-position model. The record is from RNAcentral. Lineage: Archaea; Methanobacteriati; Methanobacteriota; Methanomicrobia; Methanomicrobiales.